GGAACUUCUCGGCUCCUUAAGCUCAGAUCAAGUGUAGUACCUGUUCUUAUCAGUUUCAUAUCUGAUAUGUCCUUUAUUUGAGGACUGUAUAUUAAAUUGAUUUUUGAAAGAGGGGGCUGGAAUAGGAGCUUGCUCUGUCCAUCUCACUGCAAUACCAGGACAAUGCAUGUCUCUGGGAACAGUGCAUCUCCUU
Mauremys mutica (yellowpond turtle) is the source of this 193-nucleotide small nuclear RNA. RefSeq annotates it as U2 spliceosomal RNA. The transcript has a single exon. The record is from RefSeq and is a predicted model, not a curated record. Lineage: Eukaryota; Metazoa; Chordata; Testudines; Geoemydidae.